RNAcentral lists this ribosomal RNA (117 nucleotides) under Staphylococcus aureus. The record is from RNAcentral. Lineage: Bacteria; Bacillati; Bacillota; Bacilli; Caryophanales; Staphylococcaceae.
UGGUGACUAUAGCAAGGAGGUCACACCUGUUCCCAUGCCGAACACAGAAGUUAAGCUCCUUAGCGUCGAUGGUAGUCGAAUAAAAAGUAAACACAAAGAAAAAUGGCUUGGCGAAGU